RNAcentral lists this long non-coding RNA (613 nucleotides) under Musa acuminata (dwarf banana). RNAcentral describes it as "long non-coding RNA (MACU_LNC004871)". The record is from RNAcentral. Lineage: Eukaryota; Viridiplantae; Streptophyta; Magnoliopsida; Zingiberales; Musaceae.
AUCCCACUCGGUUCACUUCGCAAGCAACAGCCCUUCGUGCCAAAGAUGUCCGAGGAGAGGCACCACCACCACCUCUUCCACCACCGCCAGGAGGAGGAGAAGCCCUCCGAGGAGGUGGUCUACUCGGAGACCGCCUAUAACCCCAGCGGCGAUGACUACACCUCCGGCUACACGGAGACCGCCGUCGCCGAGUCCGCUUCAGAUGAGUUCGAGAGGUACGAGAAGGAAGAGAAGCAUCACAAGCACAAGGAGCACCUCGGCGAGAUGGGCGCCCUCGCCGCCGGUGCCUUUGCCUUGGUACUCCUCUUUCUUCACAUACUGCAUAGACAUCGGUUUCUUGAUCCUUUUUCCUUUUUCUUGGAGACCAUCAUAAGAACUAUGCAGUCGACUACAUGUGACUAAGUCGAACUUACAAUAAAUGGUGAUCCAACAGUACGAGAAGCAUGAGGCCAAGAAGGACCCUGAGCACGCCCACAAGCACAAGAUCGAGGAGGAGAUCGCUGCAGCGGUGGGCGUCGGCAGCGGAGGGUAUGCCUUCCAUGAGCACCACGAGAAGAAGGAUGCCGAGAAAGAGGCCGAGGAGGCGAGCGGACAGAAGCAUCACCACCACCAC